CCCAUUUUCAAAUAAACCAAGAUAUAGCCAUAAAACAUUAUCAGAAGAGAUUAAAAAGACUGAGAAACCACAGUUUCUUUUGAGAAUGACAUUCAGACAUAAAAAAAUAAGACAUAGCAACAUUAAAAAUCGAGUAAAUGAGAUCGCCAGAUACAGGGCAGAAAAGAAUGCAAUGGUUACAGGAAUCAAUGGCCAAAACCCCAGAAAGAAAGUUCUUCCAAGGGUAAGUAAAAUUUUAGCCCGUGAAAUCAAACAUUGACAUUAAGCACAAGUUUACAUGGAAACAAUUUUAGAAGUAAACAAAACCAGUACUUAUAUUGUCCCGUGAAUCAAAUGAGUGCUAAUAAGACUUCGAGCCCGGGUUUUUCACUUGAUCUCUGUGUUUUCUUGCCUAACUUAAAACAUAUUAGUAAAAACUUGUGGAUCUGGUACUACUGUUGUAACAUAGUUGUCCACUCUCAUGUGAUACUAGCUGACCUUAGCACCCUGCAAAAUAAAAAGUUAAAAACAAAAACGAUACCCAGAAACGCACAAAAUGCAGAAAUAAGUAAAAGAAGAAAGUUAAGUACUGCAUUUCAAAAGGAAGCGACCAUAAUUUCAGAGUUACCAAACUUGGAGAAAAAAAGAAGCGAGACAGAGAGUGAAACUACAUGAAACACCAUAGCUUACUUCGAAGAAAAUCUUCGAAUUAUUAAAGUUGAUGAAAUGAAAACGAAAAGGAAGAUUUCCCUACCUCAAGGCCUGCACUAUUCAGUGCCACAGAUGUUUCCCUUUGAUUAGAUAGAUCCCUUUCAUAAUCAGUCAUUACUCCAUUUCUUCUCGAGGAACCUCAACCCCCGUCUUCUUCUCUAAAUUUUCACAUCUCUCUCCCUAAAUGUUCCCGUUUUUCUUCUAAAGCAACAAAGCAGGGGUCAUCCUUCGUCUCCUUAAUUCCUUCAUAAACAAAGACUCAGCAGGUUCUUCACCUGAAAUAAUACAUUAGGGCACUUUGACACAUUAAUUUGAUUUGUAGACCAAUUUGAUUAGUCACGUUAGCUCGAAGCAAUUUACAUAAAACUAAGAUGCAGUUAGUCCGGCUGGAAAUCGAGAAAAUCUUGAAUGAACUUACAUUAUGCAAAGAGUUCACUUGAGCAAUUAACUUAAAACUCAGAUGCAGCUGGAAGUUGAAAAAAUCAUUAGAAUAUAAGAAAAACAUAUCACAAUUCCUUGAUGGCAAAAUUUUGGUUUCGUGCGCAAGGUAAACUGAAUUAGACGAAUAUAGUUGAGGAUCUGCACAGAACAACUAUGCAAUUACGGUGUUCCUUUCCCAUUUCAUGGACAAGAUCAAUAGAGUCUCAACCGGCAAUAUAAUUAACUACAAAAUAGACUAUAAUAAGUUCCAAGAUUGGGCUGUUAGAUUUAACGCCAAUUAUAGUGUUACAGAGCUCGACUCAGAACGUCGUAAGAAGAGAAGAGUUUCAACCUACUAAUUUAACCAUUAAAAUAUAAUAAUUAAUAAAUUAAAUCUGCAUUCCAACUUACCGUUACUUCAAUUUUAUGUUUCUCGUAUUUUGAAGGAAACCGAUAACCUCCCAUUAUUAAGUACAAUUCUGAAACUUUGAAGCCUGAUAUUCCUUUUCACAGAUGCCUUGGCGAUGAAUUUCGAGCAGAAACAGCUCAAUUUCUCGCACAAAUCGACGGGCUGGAUUUCGAUAGCUGAAGAGAAGUCAUUACAAUUUUUUCAUAUUUUACCGUUUUUGUAAUAAUUCCCUGCUUUUGGAUUAGCUCCAAAUCUAAUGAUUGAAAAUGGAUGAAUUUUCGCGCUAAUGUGGGACCAAAAGAAUUUCUAACAAAACCAAACCAGAUCAAAGCAAACUGAACAUUUCUGCAAACAAAAAAUUAAAAAAUAAAAAUAAUAAUAAUAAAAAUAAAAAAUUAAUGGUUCUACUUCUGGCUCGGUUCUAGUACUAAAACCAAGAACCAAACAAAGAACAAAAUUCAAUUUUAAAAUUUUAUUAUAUAUAUUUACUUGACAAUUAGUGAAUCAUAAUUCACAACAAAAAAUUCAAGAUUCAAUUGAAAAUCAAGACAAAAAGGUCAUGCACUUUCGGUUUCUCAUUUCUCAUUGUGGAGAUUGGAAACCCAAAUACAUUUUGGAGAUUCAGACCCUAAUUUAUUUUUCAUUAUCUCCCUUUUCAUUUAUACACCGACUCUCACGUGGAUAUCAACGAUGCGUCCUGUCAUCUAUCGUCACGCUCAGCCACCAACGCUCAUGUAUUUUUCUGAAAUUGAAUCCUCAACCUUCAAUUCUUC
This 2292-nucleotide long non-coding RNA is filed under the name Olea europaea subsp. europaea. The record is from RNAcentral. Lineage: Eukaryota; Viridiplantae; Streptophyta; Magnoliopsida; Lamiales; Oleaceae.